Long non-coding RNA from Scylla paramamosain (green mud crab), 383 nucleotides. RefSeq lists it as uncharacterized. Lineage: Eukaryota; Metazoa; Arthropoda; Malacostraca; Decapoda; Portunidae. The record is from RefSeq and is a predicted model, not a curated record. The transcript has 3 exons.
CAGCUAGUGGCGUCAGUUGUGGUGUGAGGUGCACGUUACAUUCAGUGGUUUCUCGAACAAAUUUUGGUGGCCACGAUCAAAAAGGAGUGCCUGCCAGGAGUGUUCUCAUCAGUCCAGCAAGUGCGUUGAAUAGAUAGACGCUGAGCCAUGCAGCGCCUCUCCUAUAUGGUACAGCGCGUCUUGGCGGGGAUGUUACUUUGGUGAGCUCUUACAACUCUCCCGCAACUGUUCAUCGCUGGCAGUAAGAGGAUCACUACAUCCAUCCCCAUCUCUGAAGGACAGUGUAUGAUGUGAGCAGUGCAGACGCAGAUUGUUCUGGUCACGUGCAACACGGGCUGUCUGCCGCUGGCUGAGCUGCACGCCGACACAGUCCAGAGGCAGGC